AAUUUCAAAGAUGAAGAGGGACAACUUGCUCAAGAACAGAGAAUCAUUGGUUUUGAGUAAAUAUAUAGGAAUUAGCACAAAUGGAGAUAAAACAAGAAAUGGUACACCCGAGUGGACUCGAACCACCGACCCCUACCA
This 138-nucleotide antisense RNA is filed under the name Shewanella baltica OS185. RNAcentral describes it as "Bacterial antisense RNA HPnc0260". It matches the Rfam family "Bacterial antisense RNA HPnc0260". Lineage: Bacteria; Pseudomonadati; Pseudomonadota; Gammaproteobacteria; Alteromonadales; Shewanellaceae. The record is from Rfam by way of RNAcentral.